Molecule: ribosomal RNA, 253 nt
Filed under: uncultured bacterium
Lineage: Bacteria
Description: partial 16S ribosomal RNA
Rfam family: Bacterial small subunit ribosomal RNA
Source: RNAcentral
UACGUAGGGUGCAAGCGUUGUCCGGAAUUAUUGGGCGUAAAGAGCUCGUAGGCGGUUAGUCGCGUCUGCUGUGAAAACUCGGGGCUUAACUCCGGGCCUGCAGUGGGUACGGGCUGACUAGAGUGCGGUAGGGGAGACUGGAAUUCCUGGUGUAGCGGUGAAAUGCGCAGAUAUCAGGAGGAACACCGGUGGCGAAGGCGGGUCUCUGGGCCGUAACUGACGCUGAGGAGCGAAAGCUAGGGUAGCAAACGGG